RNAcentral lists this RNase P RNA (324 nucleotides) under bovine gut metagenome. RNAcentral describes it as "Bacterial RNase P class A". It matches the Rfam family "Bacterial RNase P class A". From Rfam's summary of the family: Ribonuclease P (RNase P) is a ubiquitous endoribonuclease, found in archaea, bacteria and eukarya as well as chloroplasts and mitochondria. Its best characterised activity is the generation of mature 5'-ends of tRNAs by cleaving the 5'-leader elements of precursor-tRNAs. The record is from RNAcentral.
AUACUCAGAGGAAAGUCCGGACUCUUCAGGGCGGAGGGCUGGCUAACGGCCAGGAGCAGUGAUGCUACGGAAAGUGCAGCAGAAAAUAAACUACCUGAUUUAUCAGGAAAAGGUGAAAAGGCGGAGUAAGAGCCCACCGGGGUCACGGUGACGCGGCCCGCACGGCAAACCCCCCUCGGAGCAAGGUCUAAUAGAAAUGCCAUCUGCCGCGGCAGAUAAGGAUCGCCCAUCCGACGCAUUCGGGUUGACCGCUUGAGAUUGCAGGCAACUGUAAUUCCAGAUGAAUGACUGGUUAAAACAGAAUCCGGCUUAUGUGCUACUUUU